Molecule: ribosomal RNA, 423 nt
Filed under: uncultured bacterium
Lineage: Bacteria
Description: bacterial SSU rRNA
Rfam family: Bacterial small subunit ribosomal RNA
Source: RNAcentral
AAGACCUUGCACUUUUGGAGCGGCCGAUGUCUGAUUAGCUAGUUGGUGGGGUAAUGGCCUACCAAAGCUUCGAUCAGUAGCUGGUCUGAGAGGACGGCCAGCCACACUGGGACUGAGACACGGCCCAGACUCCUACGGGAGGCAGCAGUGGGGAAUUUUGGACAAUGGGCGCAAGCCUGAUCCAGCCAUGCCGCGUGAGUGAAGAAGGCCUUCGGGUUGUAAAGCUCUUUCAGCCGGGAAGAAAAGGUUGCGACUAAUAAUCGCAAUCCAUGACGGUACCGAAAGAAGAAGCACCGGCUAACUACGUGCCAGCAGCCGCGGUAAUACGUAGGGUGCGAGCGUUAAUCGGAAUUACUGGGCGUAAAGCGUGCGCAGGUGGUUUUGUAAGUCAGAUGUGAAAGCCCCGGGCUUAACCUGGGAACU